RNAcentral lists this unclassified non-coding RNA (26 nucleotides) under Mus musculus (house mouse). RNAcentral's name for it is "oocyte_clustered_small_RNA5861". Lineage: Eukaryota; Metazoa; Chordata; Mammalia; Rodentia; Muridae. The record is from RNAcentral.
UUCGCAUUCUUCUAUAUAACCACCAG